This 468-nucleotide ribosomal RNA is filed under the name uncultured bacterium. RNAcentral's name for it is "partial 16S ribosomal RNA". It matches the Rfam family "Bacterial small subunit ribosomal RNA", at positions 28 to 507 of the family's 1533-position model. The record is from RNAcentral.
GACGAACGCUGGCGGCGUGCUUAACACAUGCAAGUCGAACGGAAAGGCCCUGCUUUUGUGGGGUGCUCGAGUGGCGAACGGGUGUGUAACACGUGAGUAACCUGCCCUUGACUUUGGGAUAACUUCAGGAAACUGGGGCUAAUACCGGAUAGGAGCUCCUGCUGCAUGGUGGGGGUUGGAAAGUUUCGGCGGUUGGGGAUGGACUCGCGGCUUAUCAGCUUGUUGGUGGGGUAGUGGCUUACCAAGGCAUUGACGGGUAGCCGGCCUGAGAGGGUGACCGGCCACAUUGGGACUGAGAUACGGCCCAGACUCCUACGGGAGGCAGCAGUGGGGAAUAUUGCACAAUGGGCGGAAGCCUGAUGCAGCAACGCCGCGUGCGGGAUGACGGCCUUCGGGUUGUAAACCGCUUUCGCCUGUGACGAAGCGUGAGUGACGGUAAUGGGUAAAGAAGCACCGGCUAACUACGUG